GAUGAACGCUGGCGGCGUGCCUAAUACAUGCAAGUCGAGCGAACGGACGAGAAGCUUGCUUCUCUGAUGUUAGCGGCGGACGGGUAAGUAACACGUGGAUAACCUACCUAUAAGACUGGGAUAACUUCGGGAAACCGGAGCUAAUACCGGAUAAUAUUUUGAACCGCAUGGUUCAAAAGUGAAAGACGGUCUUGCUGUCACUUAUAGAUGGAUCCGGGCUGCAUGAGUUAGUUGGUAAGGUAACGACUUACCAAGGCAGCGAGGCAUAGCCGAACGGAGAGGGUGAUCGCCCACAUGAGAACUGGACCGCGGACAAGGCGACUGCGGGAGGCAGCAGUCGGGAACCGUCCGCAAUGGGCGAAAACCUGACACAGCGACCCCGCGCGAGUGAUGACGGCCUUCGGAGCGUAAAGCCCUCUUACUAGGGAAGAACAGCUGUGGCCGUAAAUGUAGAGUGCUUGACGGUACCGAAUCAAGAAGCACCGGCUAACUACGUG
This 497-nucleotide ribosomal RNA is filed under the name uncultured bacterium. RNAcentral describes it as "partial 16S ribosomal RNA". It matches the Rfam family "Bacterial small subunit ribosomal RNA", at positions 28 to 507 of the family's 1533-position model. The record is from RNAcentral.